RNAcentral lists this non-coding RNA (48 nucleotides) under Schistosoma margrebowiei. Lineage: Eukaryota; Metazoa; Platyhelminthes; Trematoda; Strigeidida; Schistosomatidae. The record is from RNAcentral.
ACCCCGCUGAUGUGUCCUAAAUAGGACGAAACGCGUGUCGAAUUGGAU